This 68-nucleotide transfer RNA is filed under the name Marmota monax (woodchuck). RNAcentral describes it as "tRNA.Thr". The record is from RNAcentral. Lineage: Eukaryota; Metazoa; Chordata; Mammalia; Rodentia; Sciuridae.
UGAGUGUAGCUCAGUGUUGGAGCACUUGCCUAGUAUAUGUGAGGCCUGGGUUCAAUCCCCAGCAUCAA